CAUCUCGGCGUCUCUCUCUCCCCCCUAACACGCACACACAGAAAUCAGCACACCUAAUCCUCCCCGCUCUCUCUCACAGCCGCCUCCUCCUUUAAUCCGGCAGCUACGGCCGCCGUCGACCACCUCCAUCUCCUUCCGGCACCGCGUCUCACUCUCUCCUCUCUCUGUUCCCCCCCAUUUUGCCUCUCUCUCUCUCUCUCUCUCUCUCUCUCCCUCUUUCUUUCUCUCAAAAGGAAAUCCCCAAAUUCCAAAAUCCCUAAAUCUGCCCCCUCCCAUCUCCUUCUCUUGGCUGGACGGUCAACGGCAAAGGCCCGCCACCGCCGCCGACUCCAUCUCGUCUCCCCUCCUCGCUUUCUACUCGCGGUGAGCAGUUACGCGGGCGACAACAGUAGUAACCGCGCCGCCGUGGCGACCACAGCAGCACCGCUGCCUUCGCUUCUCCCUCUCGCUGGGUCAACCGGCAACGGGCUGCCGUUGUCGUUUCCCUUUUUCUCGAUCGGCGAACAACAGCAUCUAACAAGUCGCUGCCGCCAUCUCCGAUUCCCCCUCCCCUGACUCGUCUCCAUUCCCACAACAACACACUCAUGAAAAACAGAUAAGUUCGAUUAAUCUGUAGUCAUUACGUGCACUUGUUUCAAUUCUAUUUACUCUCUAUGACAAUCAUAUAUACAAGAUUCGAUUGUUAUUCGCAUAUGUAAAUUAUCUCUUAUGGGUAAACUGGAGAAUGGUUAUGAAGUAUGCUUUGGCGUAUGAAUAUGAGUAUGUUUGAGAAUGGAAGUGAACUGGAGGCAAACCUUUAUGAGAAUUCUGCUAUGAUGUGAAUCUGCAGGGGAAAAAAANUGUAUUGUAAUCAAGAGCUUUUAUUGAUAACAAGAGGUAAGAUUAUAAAAUCUUGAUAUAAGUGAAAGAUUGGACCUUUAAAGAGGAUUACAACUCUCUUUGCUAUUUUGCAGGAGGUAGCAGAUUUGAGCUGUGAUGAAUUGGUUCGAUAUUUUGCAGAUAUGAGUUGUGUGUUGGGUGAAGAGUUAAGCUGCUUUGUGCGUGAUCGAAUGGGCGAGAAUGGCUGAAAUUUAUAGAGGAAAUUGGCAGGAAGAAGAAGACGUGGAAGACCCAUUUCCAUUGAAUUAAUAGAAGAAGAUAUGUAUCAAUUUCCAUCCAAGUUUCUGCAUUUCUCACCUUAUAAAUAUGUGUAACUGUAGCAAACUCUGCUGCUCAAGUGACUGUUUUCAAUACUUAUGCUUCUUGUAAAAUAUAUAUAUAUAUGCCUCUAAAACGUAGCAAUAGGAUAUGUAUCUGCUUCGGCUGGCUUGAUUGAAAGAAUCGGGCCUUAUAAACAAAAAUAAAUAAAUCCAG
This 1353-nucleotide long non-coding RNA is filed under the name Salvia miltiorrhiza (redroot sage). Its description in RNAcentral is "long non-coding RNA (SMIL_LNC000556)". Lineage: Eukaryota; Viridiplantae; Streptophyta; Magnoliopsida; Lamiales; Lamiaceae. The record is from RNAcentral.